RNAcentral lists this ribosomal RNA (497 nucleotides) under uncultured bacterium. RNAcentral describes it as "partial 16S ribosomal RNA". It matches the Rfam family "Bacterial small subunit ribosomal RNA", at positions 28 to 507 of the family's 1533-position model. The record is from RNAcentral.
GAUGAACGCUGGCGGCGUGCCUAAUACAUGCAAGUCGAGCGAACAGACGAGGAGCUUGCUCCUCUGACGUUAGCGGCGGACGGGUGAGUAACACGUGGAUAACCUACCUAUAAGACUGGGAUAACUUCGGGAAACCGGAGCUAAUACCGGAUAAUAUAUUGAACCGCAUGGUUCAAUAGUGAAAGACGGUUUUGCUGUCACUUAUAGAUGGAUCCGCGCCGCAUUAGCUAGUUGGUAAGGUAACGGCUUACCAAGGCAACGAUGCGUAGCCGACCUGAGAGGGGGAUCGGCCACACUGGAGCUGAGACACGGUCCAGACUCCUACGGGAGGCAGCAGUAGGGAAUCUUCCGCAAUGGGCGAAAGCUUGACGGAGCAACGCCGCGUGAGUGAUGAAGGUCUUCGGAUCGUAAAACUCUGUUAUUAGGGAAGAACAAAUGUGUAAGUAACUAUGCACGUCUUGACGGUACCUAAUCAGAAAGCCACGGCUAACUACGUG